UGAGGAAUAUUGCGCAAUGGGCGAAAGCCUGACGCAGCGACGCCGCGUGGAGGAUGAAGGUCUUCGGAUUGUAAACUCCUGUUAAGUGGGAAGCGGUACCAUUAGAGAAAGCCCGGCUAACUUCGUGCCAGCACCGCGGUAAUACGAGGGUGCAAGCGUUAUUCGGAUUCAUUGGGCGUAAAGGGUGCGUAGACGGCUUAUUAAGUCAACUGUUAAAUUCUCCGGCCUAACCGGAGGCUUGCAGUAGAAACUGAUAGGAUAGAGGGUGGAAGAGAGAAGUGGAAUUCUCGGAGUAGCGGUAAAAUGCGUAGAUCUCGAGAGGAACACCGAUGGCGAAGGCAGCUUCUGGUCCAUCCUGACGUUGAGGCACGAAAGCGUGGGGAGCAAACAGGAUUAGAUA
RNAcentral lists this ribosomal RNA (400 nucleotides) under uncultured bacterium. Its description in RNAcentral is "bacterial SSU rRNA". It matches the Rfam family "Bacterial small subunit ribosomal RNA", at positions 355 to 784 of the family's 1533-position model. The record is from RNAcentral.